Molecule: small nucleolar RNA, 86 nt
Filed under: Brettanomyces bruxellensis
Lineage: Eukaryota; Fungi; Ascomycota; Pichiomycetes; Pichiales; Pichiaceae
Also listed under: 1 other name
Description: Dekkera bruxellensis Small nucleolar RNA snR56
Rfam family: Small nucleolar RNA snR56
Source: Rfam by way of RNAcentral
UAACAUGAUGAAUAAAUUAUUUACAGACCUGUACUGAUCUCUUCAUGGGAUCUGAGGAUAACCAAUAAUUGCCAAAUUUUCUGAUU